GAUGAACGCUGGCGGCGUGCCUAAUACAUGCAAGUCGAGCGAACGGACGAGAAGCUUGCUUCUCUGAUGUUAGCGGCGGACGGGUGAGUAACACGUGGAUAACCUACCUAUAAGACUGGGAUAACUUCGGGAAACCGGAGCUAAUACCGGAUGAUAUUUUGAACCGCAUGGUUCAAAAGUGAAAGACGGUCUUGCUGUCACUUCUAGAUGGAUCCGCGCUGCAUUAGCUAGUUGGUAAGGUAACGGCUUACCAAGGCAACGAUGCAUAGCCGACCUGAGAGGGUGAUCGGCCACACUGGAACUGAGACACGGUCCAGACGCCUGCGGGAGGCAGCAGUAGGGAAUCUUCCGCAAUGGGCGAAAGCCUGACGGAGCAACGCCGCGUGAGUGAUGAAGGUCUUCGGAUCGUAAAACUCUGUUAUUAGGGAAGAACAUAUGUGUAAGUAACUGUGCACAUCUUGACGGUACCUAAUCAGAAAGCCACGGCUAACUACGUG
RNAcentral lists this ribosomal RNA (497 nucleotides) under uncultured bacterium. RNAcentral's name for it is "partial 16S ribosomal RNA". It matches the Rfam family "Bacterial small subunit ribosomal RNA", at positions 28 to 507 of the family's 1533-position model. The record is from RNAcentral.